This 1335-nucleotide long non-coding RNA is filed under the name Monodelphis domestica (gray short-tailed opossum). Its description in RNAcentral is "lncRNA (ENSMODG00000047733.1)". The record is from RNAcentral. Lineage: Eukaryota; Metazoa; Chordata; Mammalia; Didelphimorphia; Didelphidae.
GUAAGGUUCAAAUGAAAUCAUAAUUGUAAAGGGCUUAGGACAAUGCCUGGUACAUAAUAAGCAUUAUAGAAAUAUUACCUAUUUUUUCUUUAGCUUUUUAUUUUUUGAUUUCCUGUCCUUUCCCUUUUAGGAAUGGGAAGGGCUAAGCUCUCAACCACAGUCUCAUGGCUCUUCAAAGGUCCAACGAGAUAAACAUUGGGGAAUUUAUAUCUGUGAGUGGACCCUGGUUUUCAUCAUACAUGUUUAAAAAACCUAACUUGUUCUUCCUCUGGAUGUGGAUCACUGCAUUGCCACUAAUGGAGAAAUACAUUACAUUCGAUUGUACCACAGUGUAAGUCUCUGUGUACAAUGUUCUCCUGUUUCUGCUCCUUUCACUCUGCAUCAAUUCCUGGAGGUUGUUCCAGUCCCCAUGGAAUUCCUCCAGUUUAUUAUUUCUUUGAGCACAAUAAUAUUCCAUCACCAGCAUAUACCAUAAUUUGUUCAGUCAUUCCCCAAUGAGGGCAUUCCCUCCUUUUCCAAUUUUUUUGCCACCACAAGGAGUGCAGCUAUGAAUAUUCUUGUACAAGUCUUUUUCCUUAUUAUCCCUUUGGGGUAUAAACCCAGCAGUGCUAUGGCUGGAUCAAAGGGCAGGCAGUCUUUUAGUGCCCUUUGGGCAUAAUUCCAAAUUGCCUUCCAGAAUGGUUGGAUCAAUUCACAACUACCAUCAAUGCAUUAAUAUCCCAAUUUUGCCACAUCCCCUCCAGCAUUCAUUACUUUCCAUAGCUGUUAUGUUAGCCAAUCUGCUAGGUGUGAGGUGAUACUUCAGAGUUGUUUUGAUUUGCAUUUCUCUGAUUAUAAGAGAUUUAGAACAUUUUUUAUGUGCUUAUUAAUAGUUUUGAUUUAUUUAUCUGAAAAUUACCUAUUCAUGACCCUUGCCCAUUUAUCAAUUGUGGAAUGGCUUGAUUUUUUGUAUAAUUGAUUUAUCACCUUACAAAUUUGAGUGAUUAGACCUUUGUCAGAGGUUUUUGUCAUAAAGAUUGUUUCCCAAUUUGUUGCUUCCUUUCUAAUUUUGAUUGCAUUGGUUUUGUUUGUACAAAAACUUUUUAGGGAGCCAGAUUUUCAAGGACACCAAACAGGAUUUUAUAUAUCUGAUCCUGGAGGUGACAGGAACUCUUUAGAGUUAAUUGAAUGUGGGGAGUGGGAGGAUAGCAUGGUCAGAACUAUCCUUAAGGAAGAUCAAUUUAUCAGAUGAGUAGAGGAUAGACUAAAUUGGGGAGAACCUAAGACAAGGAAACCAACAAGAAGAUUAUCCCAACAGUCUAGGCAUGAAGUGAUGAGGGCCUGCACUAGGGUGGU